UACGGAGGAUGCAAGCGUUAUCCGGAUUCAUUGGGUUUAAAGGGUGCGCAGGCGGAGUGAUAAGUCAGUGGUGAAAGCCUACAGCUUAACUGUAGAACUGCCAUUGAUACUGUCAUUCUUGAGUAUUGUUGAGGUAGGCGGAAUGUGUCAUGUAGCGGUGAAAUGCUUAGAUAUGACACAGAACACCGAUCGCGAAGGCAGCUUACCAAGCAAUAACUGACGCUCAUGCACGAAAGCGUGGGGAUCAAACAGGAUUAGAUACCCUGGUAGUCCACGCCGUAAACGAUGAUCACUCGAUGUUGGCGAUACACAGUCAGCGUCUUAGGGAAACUAUUAAGUGAUCCACCUGGGGAGUACGGUCGCAAGAUUG
Molecule: ribosomal RNA, 370 nt
Filed under: uncultured prokaryote
Description: bacterial SSU rRNA
Rfam family: Bacterial small subunit ribosomal RNA
Source: RNAcentral